This 344-nucleotide unclassified non-coding RNA is filed under the name soil metagenome. RNAcentral describes it as "partial contains 5.8S ribosomal RNA, internal transcribed spacer 2, and large subunit ribosomal RNA". The stretch from base 1 to 119 matches the Rfam family "5.8S ribosomal RNA", at positions 35 to 154 of the family's 154-position model. The record is from RNAcentral.
GAUGAAGAACGUAGCGAAAUGCGAUAAGUAAUGCGAAUUGCAGAAUCCGUGAGUCAUCGAGUCUUUGAACGCACAUUGCGCCCUCUGGUAUUCCGGAGGGCAUGCCUGUCCGAGCGUCAUUGCUGCCCUCAAGCACGGCUUGUGUGUUGGGCCCCGCCCCCCGAUCCCGGGGGGCGGGCCCGAAAGGCAGCGGCGGCACCGCGUCCGGUCCUCGAGCGUAUGGGGCUUUGUCACCCGCUCUGUAGGCCCGGCCGGCGCUUGCCGAUCAACCAAACUUUUUUCCAGGUUGACCUCGGAUCAGGUAGGGAUACCCGCUGAACUUAAGCAUAUCAAUAAGCGGAGGA